UACGUAGGGUGCAAGCGUUGUCCGGAAUUAUUGGGCGUAAAGAGCUCGUAGGCGGUUUGUCGCGUCUGCUGUGAAAAUCCAGGGCUUAACCCUGGACCUGCAGUGGGUACGGGCAGACUGGAGUGCGGUAGGGGAGAUCGGAAUUCCUGGUGUAGCGGUGAAAUGCGCAGAUAUCAGGAGGAACACCGGUGGCGAAGGCGGAUCUCUGGGCCGUAACUGACGCUGAGGAGCGAAAGCAUGGGGAGCGAAAGGG
RNAcentral lists this ribosomal RNA (253 nucleotides) under uncultured bacterium. RNAcentral describes it as "partial 16S ribosomal RNA". It matches the Rfam family "Bacterial small subunit ribosomal RNA", at positions 524 to 776 of the family's 1533-position model. The record is from RNAcentral.